UAGGCCAACAAGGAUAAAAUCAUGUCUAUUUUAGUUUAAUGGAUUCCGUUUCCAUUGUUGCUGCAUUUUAUUUGAACAGUCAGAUGGAGAACUGGGCUUUGGGACUGCUUUUGGAAGGGUUACAGUCUCCUGCAGUGCAGCAGCUCAGGCUCCCUCCGCCAGCCUCUCUGGCCAUAACAACAUUGCAAAUAAAGGUGUUCAGCACUGCCUUACAGGUAACUAUCCCUGCAAAUGGCAACCUCUCCUGAAGUCUCCUGUCACCAUUUCUGAUGCUCAGAAAACUAUCUGGGAUUAUGCACACCAGUGUUUUGCUGGGCUGCAGCCCUCCACUCCUCCCUUGUCUCUCGGUAAGGCGGGUACUGUGGUUGCUACUUCGGGGCACCAAACUCUGACAAGUAACCACCAGUGGCUCCGCGAUCCCAGCAGAUCCUCGUUUCACCUUAGAAUGGAUCAGGCCCAGCCAGUCUGAAAACACUAAAUACACCCUGUACCAUUUUGCAUUAAAAAAUAUUGAGGGGCUGUUUCUCCUACUUCCAGACUACUUUUGCCUCUGAUAAAGAGGCAUGUUGUGGAGGGCCUGAACCCUUCACUAUUACAGAUGAGAACUACUUGAUUUUCCAGGCUCACCAGAAGUUUGCAAAGACAGACACACUUUCUGCAACUGUUUCCACUCUUGGAAGAACAUCCUCUCCUGUCAACAGGAACACUUUCCUGUUGGAUGUUCCAGUUAUGCUCCAUAUAAUCUUUCAAACCAGGAUCUCUAAAUGCUGUGCUCCUCCUUGUGUAAUAUUUUGUCUUCAGUUCCUGGCUCUGUUGAAAGUGAAGGAGUCUGAGGGCCCUUUAGGGCUUCAAGGAUUUGGCUCAUGGAACAGGAUUGGAAAACCUCCAGAAUUAAGGCUAUAUGUAUGAGACUCCCUAAGAGGGGCACUCAUAGGUCUCUGGUUUCUCACCUAGAAGUCCUCCUGGGAUGCUGGGCAGCACAGGGUGCCAGUCCCCCUUACAGUGAUGGUGCAUGCUGAGGUCAUGUCCACAGCAUGAGCUCCUGAGGGACACGGGCUCCUCUUGGAGAUCUCCAGUCACAAGACAAGCCAAGGCCCAUCUCCAGUGUUCUGCCUGUCCAAGAGCCUCCUGGGACUUUCCAACAGGACCUGGCAUUGGCUGCAUGACCAAAGAGCAUCCUUGAACUUUCCUCUCUGGAGUUUUAUUCUUUAAGGUGCUGGCAGUGAGAAAACCCUCUCUGUGCCCUUCCCCCACCUCAAAGCAUCCUUUAUAAAAAUAAAGUGCCCAAAAUAGCCCUAGACAGUGCUUGACGUUUGCCAGACAGCUGCUCUCGAGAGGGCUACAAAGGUUAUGGAUUGGUCUCUGCUUCCCUCCUCCUCCCGCCCCACCACCGCCCGUGUGAACCUUGGAGCAGGGCCAGGUUUCAUGGCAGUCUCUUCGUUUGGAAAAGCCAGAUUUGAGAGGGAGCUGGGAUGCAGGGAGGUGAUGGUGGGUUUCUGCCUCCCCUCCUGGGGUGACCUCUGUGAGGGCAGCUGCAAAGCAUCAGCUCUGCCCAUGCCUGGAACUAGCAGGAUGCUGCUGCAGAAGCCUGGUGGCCAUGGGGCAGGACAGUCCCCACCUGCAAGUCAUUGGGAAUCUUUGCUUGGUCUUCCAGGUGUCUGAAAACACAGGCAGAGGGGCUGUCCUGUGGUGUGCACCUCACACCAGGCUGCAGGGUUACAGCCAGACCUAAAGGGUCCCCAACAAUUUCACAGUCAGCCCAGGAGGCCAGCGGUGCCUGGGGAAGUCAUGACUCAAAGAAAGACUUGGGAGUCAUCUUGGGUCAAAGUCCCAGGUCAGGCAUUAGGAGUGCAGCCUGGGGAAGGAGCAAGCAAGCUGGGAGAGCUGCAAGAACAUGGUGACUGGUGCUGGAGUAGCACCUGGAGAAGGAUGUGGGGACACGGCAAGAGGCCAAAGGAAGGGCCUGGCCAGGCAAGCAUUGCAAUGCAAGGCAAAAUGGACUCAGCACAGAGAAGGUCAAAAGGCAAUUUAGGCAUCUGCAAAAUCAAGGGACCUUCCUUCCGAGGUGGAACUGGUCCUGUGUAGACUGGUGGAUUUAUCAUAUUUCUUGGGAGGAUCCAAGAAGAGUUGCAGCCAGGGGGAGGUCACUUACCUGUGAUCUGAAGGGGACCUGGAAUUGCACAGAAAGUCUCCUUCCCAUGGAGCUUUGCUGAUGCAUCUUGUACUAGGACAAGGUCUCAGGAUGGAGCAGGAGGAAUCCCCUUUCUGUGCAUUGGGCAUUUUAUAGAGGGAGCAGAAAGUCACAGUCUGGGCCUCAAAAAGUGAAAGGUAAAGGUGCAAACUUUUCAAUUAAAUACAUAGACAAAUGCUUGAAAUCCAUUAUCUUCAUCAAAACGAGAAGUCAGCUGCAGCAAAGCAAACAAAAAAGUUGUUUAAUCUAUUAAGCAAAUAAAUACAUACAUGUAUUUUAAGCAAAAGAGUCAACAGCCUUUAAAUAGGAAGAAAACAUGCACACAGGAAGGAAAUUUAUCACUUAGGACAGAACAGGGUAUUUGAAAUGUUAAAUGCAGUAAAAAUUGUUUUAAACUACACAAGAUAGGAAUAGAGGCCUCAAAGAGAGAGUAAUCCCAGCAACUUCUGCAGGCUCAUGAGGCAAGGAGGCAACCAGCCAGCAGGGAAAAAGGACAGGAUCACAGUCACCUCCAUCCACGACCUUAUGAAAUUUGGGAGACAACAAAUAUUGGGAUGUCUUCAGGUGUGGGUUUGCUUUCCCUUGCCAGAACCAUGGGGCUCACUCCUGCACAGAGCAGGAUUGUCCCUGCUCCCUGUGCAGCCCCCAGGACUCUGCUGUGGGUGAGGGAUGAGGAUGAGGGGAUGCUAGAGAAGCUAUCAAGGGGACUGGUGGGUCUGGCAGAGAUGGGUGGCCCAGAGGAGCCUCACAGACAGACUCACUUCCUUGGCUUUUUUUCUAUCACUUUUAUGUUUAUGCAAAUGAAGGUUUCCAAGGAAGUGCCGGUACUGGCUGAGGCCGUGCUGCCAGUUUUCUGCAGGAUCCGUCUCAUCUCCUGGGCCAUGAGACUAUUUUAAGUACUCUCCAGAUCUCCAAGAAGAGUAACUUUUAAGAUGUUUUCCCAUGCCUGUUUCUCCAGCCUGCACACUGAUUUGUCCUUGCAGUUUCACCAGCCAACAACUUUGAUGUUUAGGAGUCUGACAUGCUCACCUCUGAAGCAUUUCCCAUCACAUGUCUGGUUGUUUAUACCUUCAAGGCACGCAGCCACCCUGUUCUGUUUAAGGACUGUCUUGACCACAUCAGUAGAGUGAGAAUAUCUAAAAAUAGAUGAACUGGCAAACUUCACAAUCUGGAAAAUGACAUGCUUUUGAAAUCUCUGGAAAAGAAUGGAUUCCUUAAAGUAUAGUUUACAAAUACUGAUUUCAUUAUUUAUGGUAGCUGUAGAGCACGGUGCAUUCGGAAAGCAUCGUCCCACUGAAGAAGUGUGUUACUCAUUACCACGGCUUUAGUGUUCCAGCAUGUUCCUCAACUGAAAGGCAGCCAAGAGAACAAGCUGGGGGCAUACACAAGGGCAGCCUGGAGGGAAGCUGCUUCUCAUUUCAUGUUGGAAAGGGUGGUAGAAAGGGAAACUCAGGGGACUGCAGGAUCCUCUGCUAGAGUCUGCUGUGGCAUCAGGCGAAGAGGGCAAUGUAAAGAAGUGAAAAAGUAGCAAAUUCACAGCUGGAUAGAGAAGUUAAUUGAUUUUAAUGGAGUCAACACUCAGCUCAAGGCACCCGGUGGGCCAAAAAUGGAGCUGGGUAUCAGAGUGGUGGGACACUUCUCUGGCUAAGGAGCUGGGGACUGAAGGUUAGGUGCCAAGCCUAUGAGUUUUGGGAAGAAACACCCAUGUGUGAGGCACCCAGAGGAUCUCAGAUGGGUGUUUUUCCUCCAUGCUUGCACACUCAGUGCCCUCUCGUCCUGGCUCUCCUCAGAAGACCCAGAAUUUCAUACCUUCUUUGCUGUUCUUUCUUCAAUGCUUUGCUGAAGUGCAGCCUGACAUUUCUUUUCUUCACAUAUGCUGUGUAAGACAGAGAUUACCACUCCUGCAAAUCUUUUGAAAAGCACUCAGCUUGUUCAGGAAUCUUUCCCAGGAUCCCCGGAUUUAAAUUGCUCUGCGACCACUGUUUUUCCCCUGCCACUAUGUUAUCCCUUACCCUCUCUACUUUUUUCAUUCCUAAAGUCACUGGUAGCCAAGGGAACAUGCUCCUUUUUAUGCAGCUGUCCUGGUCUUAUUGUUUCUUUUAAAAGAUUUAUUGCAUCAUUGCUCCUGCUCCCCUCACUAUUUCCACUAGUAUAUUUGUAGACAUGGGUAAGCACUGCAAGACCGCCUGCACCUGUUCCUCCAAGUCCUCCUUCUCCUCUGCAUCUUGCCCUUCUGUGAAACCCUCCUGCAGGAAUUCCUCACCCAGGCUUGUGUUUCACCCUUGAGCUGUACCUUUGGAGCUCUGAGACCAUGCUCGGAAUUCUUGGUGCUGCAGAAGCAAGAGGUUUCUCAGGAAUGUUCUCUGAGGAUUUGGGGUCUGCUUCAACUGCUACAGCCACGUAUAAAUGUAUAGGUGUAUGUAUAUGUAUAUGUAUAUCUAUAUGUACUGGGGACCAGAUGAUCUUUGAGGUCCCUUCCAACCUGGCAUUCUAUGAUUCUAUGAUUUUCUGACAUCCCACCACAAUGACAAGCAAUUGAAGGGUAACUUCUUGGCACUGAGGGUGGUGUCCCCAGCCCUUCUGGUCCCCUGCAGGAAACCUGCUCCAGCUGCUGCUCCUCAGCACCCACACGGCCCCUUGCUUUGGGAACACCACAUUUUUAUUUUUAUGGACGGGGAUGCUGCACCUCCUAAGUCCUUAUCCAGAUGGUUGUGCCGGUGCUGUUUGCAGAGUGGUGGUUGAGAUGGGAUCUUCAGGACUUUUCCUGUCCCUGCUUAUGUAUGUGUGCUCUGGAAGGUGCUUGAAUGUACCCAUCCAUGGUGCUCCCUUGCACAGCUGAGGAGGCUGUUCCUCCCAUAUGGUGAGAAAAUCCCUGACAUGAGAACAUACUUGCCCAAAAACCAUACCAGCUGUGUCCUCAGCUGCUGCCUCCCACAGCCAGGGCAGCUGGGCACAGGUCUGCCCUUGGCUUUCACCUACCUCAUCACACAGCGGGGCACAGACUGUCCUUCAACACUCAGAUAUCCAACCCAGGAUAUUCAGCAGUGCAUUGGGCAGGUGUGAAACCCACCACGAGCACCAGCACCCAACCAAACCGCCAUCAGCAGCAGGUCAGCAGUGGCCAGCAAAGGGAGUCUGCACACAUUUGUGUCCUGUCCCCAGGCUGCUUUUGGCUCAUCUCCCUGCUGCUGGGAGCUGCCUGGGGAGGUAAGCAGCACUCCCAAAGCAAGGAGUUAGUGCUGUGCUGUAAAUAUUUGCUCUCUGAUGUAUUUAUAACUUUUACAUCUAUCUGACAUUUUAUGGCCCGGCAACAUUACAAGGGACAACUGCUUUCCAUUACUCACUGCCAUGAACUCUCAUUCACGGCUUUUUUGCCUCCCUGUGACAUCAUGUUUGCACGGCACGGGUGAGGGCAGGGGGGCAGUGCUGGCCCCCACCAGCAUAACCCAGGAUGCCCCUGGAGCUGAGCGGCAGAAACAGACCUCAUCUCCAGCCAGCCCCUGGGUGAAGGUCAGUUGCUUUCCCAGGAUGGAUUUUUUGGUAGUAACCCCCUCUUAGAGGUGACAAUAAAUCUCAUCCCACUGGCCCACUGCUGGAGCAGUCCCGUGUGCGGUUGCAUGGAAAAGUAACUGCAGGGGGGAAAAAGCACCUUCCUUGGAUUGCUUGCAAAAAGAGACAACAAGGUUUAAAAUUUCCCAGGGAGGGGGAAUGUGCACAGUAGCAGCCCCCCUGCCUGCACCCCCUGCCUGUCCAGCCCCUCUCAUUUGGCCCCCCAGCCACCCUGCUUUGGUGUCAGCCACUGGGUUGGCAUCCCUGUCCCAUGCCUCAGCUGACAUGAGGACAGUGAGGACUUUGCACCAUCUGGGCAUGGGGAAAGCGUGACCGAGGAACAAAUGUCACCCGUUUGCUGAUGGCACCAGGCCCAGAGCACGCAGACGGCUCCUCCAGCAGCCCUGACAUGGCUGCAGAAGGAGGUAAGAGGACACUGACCCACCGUCGACAUCAACCUUUCCUCCUUUCUCCUCCUGACUGAAAUUUUCCUGCCUAUGGGUCCUCUUGUGGCCAGGGCCAGGGGCAGACAUCUCAUUCCAAUUGUACUCUGCAGAGCACUGGAGAAGGAUGUUCCUCCUUUGCUUCCAGGCAGCAUGACCCCAAAGCCAGACCUGUCUGCUUCCCAUGUGCAACCUCAUCCCUGCGCACUCCAAGUCCACAGAAGGUUUUGCUGGGGCAGUUGCAUGCUGUGUGAAGGUGUUCCUGGGAUCAGAGACCCUUUGGGCUUAAGGCAGCUGGGCUCCAGCCACUCUUGGUCCUGCUGAAGUGCUUGCGGCCAGUUGGUACAGUCUCUCCUUUACCUCCUGCCCAAGCAACCCCCUCCUCCCUGUCCUUUGGCGUCCCUGGUCUCUGCUGCCUCUCAACCACCACCCUCACUCCUGGAUUCCUCAGAGUUUCCUUCCACCUGGAUUUAGUCUGUGCCCAUGUUUGAUAUCCAGCAUUUCCCUCCAGUCUGUCAUCACGGUGAGACAUGGAAACUGUCUUGCUGCCAGAGCAGUGUGCAGCCCUGAAGGGUUACAGCCCACUGGUGUCUCCAGGGGGUCUGGGGUUGCCCACAGGGCAGGUUGUGACACACGCAGAGGUGCAUCCUUGACCACAGUCAUCCUCACACCUUUUGGAGCUCUGCUAUGCCCAUGUGUAUUCCGGAUAACGUGUGCACAUAUGUGUCUUUUCCCUUUCCUCUCAGAAGUUGCUUUGCAUUAAAGUCACUUUCCAUGGC
Long non-coding RNA from Apus apus (common swift), 6962 nucleotides. RefSeq lists it as uncharacterized. The record is from RefSeq and is a predicted model, not a curated record. The transcript has 3 exons. NCBI's taxonomy places the organism in Eukaryota, Metazoa, Chordata, Aves, Apodiformes, Apodidae.